GCUGGGCGUGGUGGCGUACACCUGUAAUCCCAGCAACUUGGGAGGCUGAGGAAGAAGAAUCACAAGCCAGCCUUAGCAAUUUAGGCAGUAAGCAACUAGGUGAGACCUUGUCUCUA
RNAcentral lists this small RNA (116 nucleotides) under Marmota monax (woodchuck). The record is from RNAcentral. Lineage: Eukaryota; Metazoa; Chordata; Mammalia; Rodentia; Sciuridae.